UCUCAAACUGUGCUUAAAAGAAUGUAUAACAUAUGUUUUUUAGUUUCAGACAUUAUUGAGAAGCUGGAAAAAAGAAACAAAGCUUCUCUGAUGUAACUUUUAAUGCACAACAACAAAGUAAAACAUAAAGAGAAGAUAUUGAAGAGAGAAAACCAUCUUCUUCAUCAUUACCUCUCAGAUAGGUCCAAGAUUGCCUUCGCUACGAGUUCUACGCAUAGACAACUCUGAUCUCAGAGUAGCCAACCUAUCACCACUCGCAACGCAAUAGUUCUCGUAAGCAGCUGGUGAUACUUUGUGUCCCACAGGUGGAAGACGGCUGCUGCUUCUCUCCUUUGAUGAUCUUUUCUGCACACCCGAAGAAGCUUUACGAGCUGCGGAUGACGAUCCGGCUUUGGCUGUGAGUUUUCUAAUACAUUUCUUCCAUGUUUAGGAAUGAACAAUUGGAGCGUGAAUAGGUGGGAUUGUACACACAAAUGCAUUACAAUCAAGAGAUUUUAAACCUUGAUUAUGAUUCUAUACUAUAUUAGUAAUAAAUUUAAUCCAUAACCAAAAAUUAGUUCAAAGAUGAAGGAUUGUACUUAUAUAUCAUCCACAAUUUUUAGAAAAGUUUUGAUGUUGGACUAAUAAAAAUUUUAAAGACAGAAGAUAAACUAAUAAUCUUGAAUUUAGCAACCCCUCCUCCAUUAGUCAAUUUCACAUUUAACUAUCAGUUACUUGUAAUCUCCGUUAUCAACUUGUUAUUUUUACUAUAGGCUCCAAGCUUUGGAUUCCACGGGGAAUUACAAAGCUCAUCGUUUUCAAUUAUUCAAACGACAAUAAACAAAUCAUGUGUCUUGCUUGUACAUUUGGUAACUACAUAUAUAGAAUAUGGCAAACACAUAUUUCAUUAAGGUUUCUUAAUUAAGAUUCUUUUGUAAAAUGCAUGCGUUGAUCAUGAUGAAACCUUGUGGCUAUUAGAUGACCGGUCAAUGCACAUAUACCUCUUUAUACAUAGAGGUUUCCAAUGGUAAUCGACUUAUUAUUGACACGUCUUACUUAAAAUUUGUUAAAAGCAGACAUUAAUGGGAUAAUAUACAUUAACUAGUCAUGCAACUAGAAAUGUUGGUAUAUAGUAUGUAGUCCUCGAAAGCUUUAGUCGAAAACGUGAAAGUGUUUUGAUGUUAUGGAGGAGGAAGAGAGAGUAGGAUCAAGCAAGAGAGAUUUAAGACCACUGAAGCAGAUAAGGCACGCGCCAGCCUCUGAUUCCACAUAGCCACAGAUUUUGGAUUUCCCGAUGACGUAAGCAUAAAAUGGGCUUUUAACGGGCCAAAACAAAACUAAAUUGGUUGGUUAUUAGCUGUUAGGCCCAUGUUAUUAAUGAUACUAGUUAGAAGCCAUAUUCUCUAAUGGUUAUUUGUCAGAAACCAUUAGCAGUCAGCAGAUCACCUGGUUUCAGUUAGAUUAAAGAUUGGUUUUCAUGCACAAUUAUUAAAGAUUUUCAGUAAGUUUGCAUGCACAGUAUUAAAGAUUUCCAGUAAGUUUGUUUUAAUCAUUUCCACAAAGUAAUAUUUUUAAUAAUAACCUCCAAACCUAAUGUAAAACCAUUAGUAGAGAUCACUGGUAUAUGCAUGUUUUUUCACGAUAUUUCCCAUUAUUAAGAGAUGAGUGGCUAAACAAAUGGACUUUAUAGUGGGCAGAUUAAUCUGUUUCAGCCCAUAUAGUUAAAAAUGUAUUUUGAUUAAACACAAGAGGAGAAAGAAAAUUACUAAGUAAAGAGGCACCGAGAGUUGAUCAAAAAAAAAAAAAAAGAGGCACCGAGAGUCAAAGAAACAAGUUUAGGUGACAUGAUGAAAUGUGCAUGGCGUGAGACUCUGAGAGACAUGCACUCAUCACGUGCUUGCAUGUGUGUCUCUUUGCUUUCUAUAUCUCUCUUUUUUUUUUGCUUAGUUUUUUUGAAAAUUAUUAUUUUUGCUUAGUAAUGUUAAAUAGAUAAUCCCCAAUUCAUAAUUGUCUUUCUUAAUUGGCUAAUCAGUUUCACAUUAUUAAUUAGGCACGUAAAUAUGGAAAUGACCCAUAUCCGUUGCCAUUUUUGCCUUGAAUCUUUCACCACUUAGAUUUAACAAUAAUCCAAAGUUAUAUUCUUAAUUUUAAUCAGAUUAAAAAACCCUAAACUAAAUAAAUAAAACAUUCUUAAGCCUUUUGACUAUUAUAUUUUUAUCGUUUUUAAUUAUUUUUGUAUUAAAGUAUCGUUUUAGGUCGAAUGUUUGGCCUUUAAUUUUGUAAGAAGGGUAGAAAAUGGUUAUUUGCCUUAUUGUUUAUAUAGGAGUCACGAUUCGGCGUGAUUAGUGUUUUCAUUUGAUUGAGAUAUAUUAUAUAAAAUAAAAAAUAAUCAAAAUAUGAACUUGUAAAUUACAACUACUUUCUAAACCAACUAAAAUGAUUUUGAUCAUUCUUUCUAUUGUCUUAUAGUGACUUUUUCGGUCGGCUCUAUUUUGGUAAUGGUUAGAAAAGCAGAACAUGCGAAUGUUCUUUUUAAAUGGAUAUAUUCACGAAAAAGAAUACAUUAAUGUUACAGAAACAUAAAACCUUAGAAGAAAUUAUAAUAAUUCAAUUGAUUUGUGGGAGUGCUUUUAGGCUUUCCCUUUAUCCAAUGCAUCAUAUCUUUCCUGUCCUCUUUCCAACAAUGCAUCAUAUCUUAAACCUUGAAAAUUCGUUAGGUAAAAGUAAAACUGUAUCAACCUUUUCUGGUGCAUAUAAUUCCAGUAAAUAAAUGCAUUUGCUCCAUAUUUAUAGAAUGGCAUUAAGUCUUUUUGUUGCAUUUAUUAAAAGAUAACACAUAAAUUUUCAAAGUAUACAUAGUCAUUUGGACCCGAGAUGCAGCUAAUCACACAUUCACACUUGCAAACAAUUUGAAAAUUUACAUUAUCUUUUAUUGCUUAGUGUAUUUGCAAACAAUUUUCAUAGGAUACUAUACAUUAAGCAUAUAAUAUUAUGACGAAAAUGAUAGUUUAGUUAUAAAUAUAUGAAAAUACAAAUAUAAUUUAAAGAUGGCGCGAUGGCGAAGCAAGGCACCCCAAGGCAAAUAAGUGAGCUCAUAAAGUCACUGACGCUUCGUCUAAUAUUCGUCUGCUCCCUUUUCUAUCCUUUUCAUUUUAUUUAGUGAGUUAUUUACAAGAAAAGGCACCUCCUAUGCUUUAUACGAGAUUGCAAUUCUUGAAUCAUACGAGAUUUAGAUAUAACCAAAGUAGUUAAUAUUAGUAAUAUAUCUUAACUCACGCCCAUACACUACUGUAAAAAACGGAAAAUUAUCAUAUAUAUAAUAUAUUGUUUAUAUUUCUCUGUUUUGCUGUGAGAUUUCUAAUACAUUUCUUCCAUGUUUAGGAUUGAACAAUUGGAGCGUGAAUAGGUGGGAUUGUACACACAAAUGCAUUACAAUCAAGAGAUUUAAACCUUGAUUAUGAUUCUAUAUAUACUAUAUUAGUAAUAAAUUUAAUUCAUAACCAAAAAUUAGUUCAAAGAUGAAGGAUUGUACAUAUAUAUAUAUCAUCCACAAUUUUUAGAAAAGUUUUGAGGUUGGACUAAUAAAAAUUCUAAAGACAGAAGAUAAACUAAUAAUCUUGAAUUUAGCAACCCCUCCUCCAUUAGUCAAUUUCACAUUUAACUAUCAGUUACUUGUAAUCUCCGUUAUCAACUUGUUAUUUUUACUAUAUGCAUGUCCAAGCUUUGGAUUCCACGGGAAAUUACAAAGCUCAUCGGUUUCAAUUAUUCAUACGACAAUAAACAAAUCAUGUGUCUUGCUUGUACAUUUGGUAACUACAUAUAUAGAAUAUGGCAAACACAUAUUUCAUUAAGGUUUCUUAAUUAAGAUUCUUUCGUAAAAUGCAUGCGUUGAUCAUGAUGAAACCUUGUGGCUAUUAGAUGACCGGUCAAUGCACAUAUACCUCUUUAUACAUAGAGGUUUCCAAUGGUAAUCGACUUAUUAUUGACACGUCUUACUUAAAAUUUGUUAAAAGCAGACAUUAAUGGGAUAAUAUACAUUAACUAGUCAUGCAACUAGAAAUGUUGGUAUAUAGUGUCAUGAUUUGGUCGUGGAUCUCUCACUCUGCAGUUGCAGAAAUAAGCAACAGGUUCUUUGAUUUAUAAUUGGUUGUUUAUUUUUGUAAUUCUCUGGAAUGUCAAUAUAUAAUAUAUACAUAUCUGGGGUGGGAGUUUUUUUUAGUGAUUAGAGAUUAAUAUAUAUAUAUAUAUAAAACAUUUUCUGUUGGGAACCUGAAUCUCUCCGGACCAAACUAAUCACAAAAUAUUCAAGCACCUUGAUAAUAAUGAAGUAGUAAAAGACUGAAGUGCAUCUGCUGAUCUACUAUAUUAUAAAUUACUGAGAAUUAUACAGAUUAUCUAAUAGAGAGUUAAAAAAGUAACAAUAAGGAUAUGCUUUGCAUCAUUGUUAGUGUAUGGACUAUUGAGGAAAGUAAGAAAGAAAAAAGCAAAGCAAAGCAAAGAAGUACCCUUUAGUCUUCAAACAAAGUAGGUGGAUGGCCCUUGAGAAUUUGGGUGUUAUUCACUAAUCAACAUACUUUGAAUAAUUUUUUGUUUCAUAUAACUUUGAAUCUUCAUUAAUUUGAUUUUUUUUGUAAACAUUAAUUUGAAUUUAAUCGCUUCUUCUUAUGCAAUUAUCUUCCUCAAACAGGUAUGAUUAAUAUCUCUCUUCUUUGUUAGUCAUAUUAGGUUAGCACUGUCACUUUCUGUUGCUUAUUAGCUAAUACGCCAAAACUAAAACGCUUGUUUCCUUACGUUACAUGCAUAACUUUUAUUUUCUUUACAUCUUAUUUAAGUUAGGUACUAUUACUAACGGUCAGUCAAAUGCCUUUUUCAUUUCGUUCACAUCUUGAAUUUCAGAGGGCUUGAUAUUUCACAUUGUGUAGCAUAUAUAAUAAUAGACUGUUUUUAAUGUUUUUUCUUUUUGUAGUUAUCGUCAAAAAAAAAAGACAGACAGGCUUUGGCAGUAAAAGAUAAAAGUAAAAAAAAAGAGGGUUGUUCAAAUGGCAUAUUCACAUGGCAGUUUGUUCAUUGACUUAUCAAUUUUCUUUACUGACUUAAAAACACAAUUAAUUUGAAUACCUAUAAUAUUGGGAAAUUCAAAACCUAACAAAAGGUGAGUACAAAGACUUAAGGACAAGGAAACCAAGCUGUCACAAUCUAAUUAACAAAUGUAUGAUAAAAUAAGAAAACAAGACUAAGAUUUCCAAAAGUUAAUUAAUGUUUGUAACUGUUAGGACGAGAUUCCAAAGUGACGAAUCUUUUGAUUGGAUUUUAUAAAUACAACAAUACUUUAAUACAGAACUUCAUUAAUUACUGCGCGCGUGAGUUGGUUAAAAAUAUGGUUUGAUGAUGAAUGAUAGCAACAAACCAAGAAAAGAUAUGUGCUAAAGAUGUAGAAAAACAAAAAAUGUUAUGCAUGAUCUAAACUUGAUGAAGAAUCUCUUUAUGUAGUAAUAAAGACUUGAUUUACCUAUAUUAGAAUCUUAACUAGGAACAGAUGAAUUUAAGAUUUUAACUUGAUGAAGAAUAUUUGUAUGUAGUAAUAAAAACUUGAUUUACCUAUAUUAGAAUCUUAACUAUUAACUAUUAACGAGAAAAAACGAAUAAUUACUUUAAAAAAAUCGAACAAUUACAAGCGAUGAUCAUAUGUUAAUAACUCAAAAAUGAUAGAUUAAGUAAGAAAAAAAGAGUAAUAGCAGUAUCCCUCAAAAGACCAAAACACCAUCUCUCUCUCACAAUAAAGACAGCUUCUCUCUUUUAAUGUCUCCCUCCUCUCUAUCUCUCUCUUCUUCUUGAGCAGAGACUCUCACUAGUCACUACUCUCUCUCAGUCAAUCAAUGGAGUUUCAUCUCGAACACCCUCUCUCACAUUCUCCUUCUAUCCACAACAACAACGAUGUUGCUUUACCACCAAACUCUCUCUUCCUCGUCGAACCACAACACAUGCCUUCUCCUCAUUACUUCCACACCCUCAAAUCCUCUGCUUCUCUCCUAUCUAAUCGAAACCACGCCGUUUCUUCAAUCAUUCAGGUCUCUUUUAACAAACUUCUACUGAGUCAUUAUCUUGUAAGAAAAACUUAUACCCUUUUUGAUGGUUUACUAACUUUGCAGUAUUCAAGAAAACUCGACGACCCUUCUCUGACGUAUCUUGCGGUGAAUUAUCUAGACAGGUUCUUGUCCAGUGAAGAUAUGAUGCCGGUAAGAAAAAAACAGAACAUGUCCUAAUGUUUCAUCUGAGAUUUGACUUUGUUUUUUAAUUUAUAAUUAUUGUUUUUCUUUGACAGCAAUCAAAGCCUUGGAUUCUCAAGCUUAUCUCUCUUUCUUGUGUCUCUUUGUCUGCUAAAAUGAGAAAGCCAGAUAUAUCUAUCUGUGAUCUUCCGGUAAGUGACCUCCACUAGAAAAGACAUUGAUCAUUGUAUCUAAGGUUCCGGGGACGAAACUAAUAUUAUAUGAUGUGGUUUUGGGUUUGAGGGGAUCAUACUGUCAUGUGUAUUCAAAACCAAAAAAGAAUGUAUGUAUGUGCUUCAUACUGUCAUGUGUAUGAAGAAUUUGAAUUUUUCAGGUGGAAGGUGAGAUGUUUGAUGCUCAGAUGAUAGAGAGAAUGGAGAAUGUGAUCUUAGGAGCUCUUAAAUGGCGAAUGCGCUCUGUUACUCCUUUCUCCUUUCUCUCCUUCUUCCUUAGCCUUCUCUUCGAGCUCGAAGAAGAUCAUUCAGUACUUAAACAUUCACUCAAAGCUCAAGCUACUGAUCUCACUUUCAAUCUUCAACAUGGUAUACAACAAUUGAAUGUUUCAUAACUUCUUCAAUGAGUCUAAAUCUAAAACAUCUUUUGGAAUUUUUUUGGCAGAUAUCAAGUUCCUAGAGUUUAAACCAUCAGUGGUUGCAGCAGCUGCACUUCUCUUUGCUUCUUCUGAGAUCUGUCCUCAACAGUUUCCAUGUUUCAGUAACAGAAUAUGCCAAUGCACAUAUGUAAAUAAGGUAAAAAAAGUUGUAACCAUCUCAAACUUUGUUUUAAAAACCGCGCAAUAAAAAUUGAUAUGUUUUGGGUUAACAGGAUGAGUUAAUGGAGUGUUACAAGGCAAUGCAAGAGAGAGAUGUAGUUGAAGACAACGAAGGAAGCAAUGACACAGCAGUAAAUGUACUUGACCAGCAAUUCUCUAGCUGUGAAGAAAGUGCAAUCACAGCUUCAUCACCUAAGAGGAGGAAAAUUACUACAAGUACUAGUCGUCGAUGUUAAGCUGAAAAGGUGGUUUAAUGGUCAGACAUAAUCUCCAACCAAUGUAAUCACUUCAAAACCACUUAUGAUGGUCCCCUUUUGAAAGAGACACUUUGCUAUUCCUUCCUUCCUUCUCUGCUUCAAAUAAGCCAUUACUCUCUUCAUGGAAGAUGAGAGUGAUGAAUGAUCAAAACACCAUAUCUCAUUGCUCCUUCCUUUGGACCACAUCAUAAAGCUCAAAAAAUGAAGAAAAAAAAUCAAUCAAUGUGUGUUAUUUUUAUCUAUCAUCAUGUUCUGUAUUUACAGUUUUGGGUUUCUGCAGUUAAGUUGUUUCACUUGAAGUGGAAUAAUCAAUAAAUAUCUGUUCUUACGUAAUGUAUAUAACCUAUGGUUUAUGUUACUUACUAGAUGGACACUAAUGUGGUCACGAGAAGAAAACUAUUGAAUUUAAUUUUCAGGCAUAAGAUUUUGUCUUAUGAGACUUCGUUAUCCGAGUUAUAUGGAUCCAGUUGCCAGAAUCUCUGUUGCAGGCAGGCACGAUGAUACUCUUUGGACCACUUUACAGUUCUGAAUCAUUCAAUUGCUUUUGUUCUUACUGCAAGCCUGUAAGAAAUGACCAUCCGGUUUAACCGAAUCAAAAAUUGUACCAAAAACCGAACUGGAAACCGGAUUGGACUCAAACAAACAUUUAAGAGAAAGAGAUUGAAAGACUCUUUGCAAUCUAUAAUCUCAAACUGUGCUUAAAAGAAUGUAUAACAUAUGGUUUUUAGUUUCAGACAUUAUUGAGAAGCUGGAAGAAAAGAAACAAAGCUUCUCUGAUGUAACUUUUAAUGCACAACAACAAAGUAAAACAUAAAGAGAAGAUAGAGAAGAGAGAAACCAUCUUCUUCAUCAUUACCUCUCAGAUAGGUCCAAGAUUGCCUUCGCUACGAGUUCUACGCAUAGAGAGCUCUGAUCUCAGAGUAGCCAACCUAUCACCACUUGCAACGCAAUAGUUCUCGUAAGCAGCUGGUGAUACUUUGUGUCCCACAGGAGGAAGACGGCUGCUGCUUCUCUCCUUUGAUGAUCUUUUCUGCACCCCCGAAGAAGCUUUACGAGCUGCGGAUGAUGAUCCGGCUUUGUGUGUACUCGACGCACCGUGGCUACUCUUCCUCCCGUUGUUUUUGAGCUCUGAUCUGAG
RNAcentral lists this long non-coding RNA (8412 nucleotides) under Brassica napus (rape). RNAcentral's name for it is "long non-coding RNA (BNAP_LNC000949)". The record is from RNAcentral. Lineage: Eukaryota; Viridiplantae; Streptophyta; Magnoliopsida; Brassicales; Brassicaceae.